AGCACUUUGUGAUGGAAGAGAAGGCGGGGUAGAGAAGAACAAACACUGGCAGGUUCUAAACUACCUGCUACCUCCCGGCUACACCAGAACCUGGGAAGCAUCCAUCUCUUGCUCGGAAGUGCCACAAAAGCGCUGGUGAGCCUUUGAUGGCAGCAGCGAAUGACCCGGGCGCCUUCCUCCCACAUGUUCAAACUGGGAAGAAAAUUUGGGAGAAUCGAAGGUUCUCAUCUCUGUAAACAACCCGAACCCAUCGACCGAAAUUGCCCAUCUCCAUCCAGACACAUGAACUUCUCCUUCUUCUGCUCCUUCCCGCUCUCUCCCUUUCGUGUUUGCCAUUACCCUGCUCCGGUUAUUGCCCACAUCUGGAGUAUGGCAGCUGUCCUGUAAUGUGCAAGCUGCGGUAUGUAAUUUGGAGAACUCGAAUACAAAUAUCUGUUAAUUAAAAAAAAAUACAGAAGCGUGUUUGUCAGCUUGUAAUUAUGUAAAGAGGAGCACAAACUCCCAAACUAAUUUAAAAAACGAAAAUAACUUUACCAGCGGCUUUACAAAAGAUUCCACGGCUCUAGAUGUGGCCACUAACUUUCUUCAGAGUAUGCGAAGUCCUUGCAGAUGCCUAGGAAGUGUCUUUGGGGGUAAUGGGCUGGGUUAGGAGCGUAAGUAGGAAAAUGAGACUGGGGCGGCAGGUUUGUGACCUGAUUCUCUUAUAUACCUUCUUAACCUAGGAGUGCCAUAGGACUUUCCCAGCCAAAGCACUGUUGACACGGCUGGAUAAUUUCAUGAAAAGUGGGGGAGAGGUGGCCUACGUGGUCUCUUCCAUUACUUGUCACUAGUACCCUCUCCCUCCUUAGUUAUGACACACAAAAAUGCCUCAAGGGGCUAAGUCACCUCCAGAGGAGAACCCCUGUCAUUUUUAUUUGCUGUGAAAUAUGCAUGGGUGUAAGUAGACAUUUUCUCAUUCCGAGUUCAUAACCCUAGCUCUGGGUACUGGCUUUUUUUUCCCCUGUUUGUCUCCUCAUCGUCCACACGGAUGUGACAAGUCCCAGGAUGACGUUUCACAGGGCUCCCAUGAAGAUCAAAAGAGAUGUGGAGGAUUUUUCAAGCUCAGAAAAGGACGUUUGGAAGGCGCAGUUUUGUUAUGGUUAUUGUUGCAAGAUGGCCCCUGACGUGCAAGGCCGCUCUGGUUCCUGGAAGGCAGCCUGGCAACUUUGACCUUGGAAGCACAGUCCUCUCUAACUCCCUGGACAAGCGGGCAGAACUACCUUUGCACAUGGCCAAAGAGCACAGUGCAAAGGCACGCUGCAGAGGGAAAGCUAAGGCAGAGGAAAUAUGCUACAGACACAAAAGACAAGGCUGGAUGAGGGGCUCAGCCUUCCCUCCAGGAACAUGGGGUCUCCAAGCUACUCUGCUACUGUUCACUUCUAUAAAAUCCAGGCUCACAUUUCAGAACUUCUUUUCUAGCCUUUUUUACUGCAUCCAAAUUUCACAUUCUAUCCAAAAAUACAAAUUAUUACUAUUAUUUAUUUUUAUUACUUAUAAAUAAAAAAGUUUAGGGGCUAAACAGAUGGCUGAUCAGUUAGGAGCACUGACUGCACUUCAUGAGGGCCUGGAUUUGGUUCCCAGCUCCACAUGGUGGCUUACAACCAUCUGGAACUCCAGUUCUAGGAGAUCUCCAUGCCCUCUUCUGGCUUCUUUGGGUACCAGGUACACCUGUGGAAACAUAUCUAUAGGCAGGCAAGACACCUAUGUGUAUAAAACUAAUACAAUAAAAUAGUAUUUUUAUGAAAAAGUAAAGAAGUUAGUUGUCUGGGAAGGCAGGUGAUGGAGAAGAUAACUUCCCAAUAAUCUUUUAGCUCUAGAAUUCUGAGGUUUCAAGACAGACUCUGUCCCUAACUAAUUAGAUUUUGAUGCUCAUCAUUCAUUACUAAUCACAGCUAUCACUUCCUGAAGACUCUUCUAUCCAGAACAUAAGUUGAUCACUUCCUGUGGGUUAUCUCAAUCUUCCCCCACAGUUCUCUAACAUAUGUAUGAACCCAUUUUACCGAUGAGAAAGCUGAGGCACACAUAGCUAUGUAACCUGCCUCAGAGCAAAUCGGACAGCAUGUCAGAAAGACAGAAAAAGGGAAAGAUUUGAGGUUUGUCUCUAGACUCAGAUGUUCCAGAGCCAGGGAGAGCAGCCCCACGGCACCAGUGUGUCCUAAAGCCUUUGGGUUGCUAUUAAGGAGAGACAGAGCUCACCUAUUAGGUGAACCCUUGGGUCUGACCCCUGCUCCACAGGAACUCAGCCUCAAGUGUGAAGCCAAGAGGUUUAUGACAAUUUGGGAGAUUCCCACAGUGUGGACAAUAAAAAAUAAAGACAGGCAGGCGAAGCUGACGGCUGAGUGUUGCACAUACAAUCAAUACACCCAAGAUAACAAUUUCUGCAGAAGAGCGACUCGCUUACUCUCAGGUCCCCAGGAGACACACACCGCUCUGACAGUCACAGAAAUCCUGACUUGAUAUGGAUCUUUCGUCUCCAGCCUGCUUCCCAGUCUUUUCAUUUUAUAUUAUUAAAUAUUAAACCCUGGGAACAGGUUCAUUUGGCUGUUACCAUGCUGUCAGUCAGAUUACCCUUGUCUAAGCACUUCAAGUGGCGUGGGCUUCACUUGCUUCCCUUGGCAACCAGUGCAAGCUCCAAAUCCUACUGUAGGAUGAAACAAGGUCCUACCAGAGUAGAGUGGGCCAGGACUCCUAAAUCCCCUUUUCAGGUCCUGGCAUUGGCUCUGCGAUUAUGUCCCUCCAAGUCAAAUUGUUUCCUUUGAAAGCAAACAGGCUAGUCAUGCUAUUAAGAUUAUCCCUACGUCAAAUUUAAGGUCUAUUGCAAUGGUUUUGAAAAUUCUCAAAUUCUGAAAGGUGAGCCCUAUCCACUCAAGACUAGUGUGCGAAUUUCAUACACUAUACAUCUCGGCUCCUGCCUUGAUACCCAGAAUCCACCCAAUUCUUCCUCCCUUCCCCCUAUCAUUUGCCGUUUCUCUGGAAUUGCUCAUUAUUUCCUAAUAUUGAAUAUCCAGAGAGAAAAAAAAACAUAAUUAGACCAGCAUGAUACAUGGGGAAAUAAUGUAUUCUGAAGUCAAAAGGAAAUAAGAUCAUUGAGCCUGCUGAUGCUUUGAUGGCCCAGGGCUUGGUCCUCUCCAAUAGCAAAGAUAACGGAAACUUGGGGAGACCGGAAGGAAGCAUAAUUGUAGCGAUGCAUCCAGCAGUGGAUGACUUCAGUGCUUUUAUUUCAAAAUGGUUCUAAGUCUCAGCACUCCAGGACCCCACGGUGAAAGACAAGGAAUGACCGAGUAUUAGAAUCCAGUAACCAUUGUUCAAGCAGAACAAUGGACCUGGAACUGUUUCCUCCCAGUGACUUUGACCUAGCCAUCGAUGUGCUGCCACUUAAGGGUUGAGUGCUAAUAUUCAAAAGUAAAAUUUAUGAUGUGUGAACACUCAAAUCAUCCCCCUGAAUAAUCAAUAUAGUUGACCGGCCCAAGUAGGUUUGUUGACAUUGGGAAAUAAAUUAACUAAAUUAAAGCAUCUUAAUCAAGUGUGUUUAUCAUUUUGCCAGGGAAUUUAAUGAAGACAGUCUCCUGCUAGAUCUCUGCUACCUGCAGUGAGACCCACCCUGAAGCACAUUUAUGGUCUAUGCUGUCAUUCCUGUGGCCUGGGCAAAAUUAUUCACCUUUUCUCAACUCCUAGAAUCCAGAUGUUGAGUGGGGAGAGCAACACUUUUUUCACAUCUGGCAGAGGGUGAUACAUUUUAAUGAGGGUUGGAAAGGACUUUGAACAUGAAGGGCUUAUAUUACUAUUGCUCUCCAAUGCCCUAGACAGUCUAACAAAAUGGUAUCUUAAUCUGUGUCAUGGCUAAUUCAUUUUGGAAUCGAGCCUACUGUAUACAGAUUUCAGUGUGUGUGUGUGUGGGGGGGUCACGGUGAAGAUAUCUUUGCCUUGGGGCAAAUAUUGACCUCCUGAGCAUCAAUAUUUAUUUUUUGAGUCAAUAAAUCUGUGUUGACCUUGAUAAAAAGUCAACAUUUCCACCAAAUCUCAAGGUCUUCCUCAUCUGUACAGCCUGAUACUGAGUCUGCUACUUAACUCCGUUCUAAUAAAUCCUUAUUUACAGGAGUUAUGACACAGCUGUUGGUAGGUCCUCAGGGGUGAAGAGUGUAUCCCUAGGCAUUGGUAUAGAACUGCUGAAGUGAGACUAUCAUGGUGUUUCUAAGAAAACUCUGCUCCCUAUGUUCUUAUCCUUUUCCCCUCAGGAAGUGGCUUUCUUGAAGGCAUGUUUUCUACUUACCAUAUCAUAAAAUGCCAAGUAGGUAAACUGCUAAUAGCUGUCAAAUUGGACAGAGUCAAGAAAGGUGUACUGCCCAACUUUGUGUUUGUAGAAAUAGGACAUUGAACCCUAAUCACUGAAUCCUGGGAUCAUCAGUAAUGUUCCUCAUAGCUACACCACGCAUGGCUCCAAACCACAAAUGUCAAAUGGUUCUUCUGGCUUAAAGGAAGAUUCUAUCCCUCGACAAUCAUCUGUUGAUUGAAUGGUUAUUGAAAAACUACUGUCUCUCUGAUUUUGAAGUGCAUCGUUUUCUCUGUGUACAAGUGAAAUUCUUUUCUCUCUAGAAUCCUAUCAGAGUCCAACAAACUUGCUAAGAGUUGAGAAUCUAAAGAGGCAUAGUCAGGCUCCCAGUACUAAGUGAACCCUCUCCAUUAGGUGUACACAGUUAAGUGGUAUCUUUAUUUUUCUAUAUCUCUACACAUGUAAAAUGUUAUGCAUAGGCUAUUUUCAUAUGCACAAGGGCAGAUUUAGGAAAUGGCCCGUGGGAGUCAUUUCCAACCAUCUGCAAACAUAUUACAGGAAACACAUCUAUUAUGGCUACCAGAGGCCAGUCCGGGAAGUCGUAUAGUUUGAAGGCAUAAGAAACUUGUACCCAAUAGUGGGAACUACCCACACCAGGGCACAUAUGGGGAAGAAAAGGGACAAGGACAAUUGGGAAAUGCCAAAUCAAUAGCACAGCUGCUGUGUUCAUCAUGUUUUGUCUUUGGGGUUUGAAUUUAAUUGCCCUCCAUAUAGAUUCUAGUAGAAAGAAUGGUUCAUCACAAAACAUUUUGCUUGUUGCACAGAUAAACAGAUUUCUAGAAUAAAUGUAUGUAAAACUCAAAACGCUGUCCAGCAUGCCUUUAUGAUAAAUGAGACUUUUUAUGCAUUUCCCAUUGAUUUAUCUGCUUUUAAUGGGUCCAUUUGCAAGCAGCAGUGUAUCCAAACUCUCAAAGAUGGUGUGUGUGUGUGUGUGUGUGUGUGUGUGUGUGUGUGUGUGUGCACGCACACGCUUCUGUUGGGUGAUGGAUGGUAAAGAGAAUGCUGGCACUUUAUUUAUUUCAGGAAACUGUUAGAAGGCUGACUCUCUCCAACAACUUCCUAUUAUUUUAUCAACACUAUCAGCAACCCAAGCCAUAAAAACCUAUUUUUCAUUUGCUUAGAUAUUUCCAAACAGUUUGGGGAAAAAAAAACCCAUACACUGGUAAGAUGAAAAGAAAGGGGUUAGUUCUAGAGUGACACUUGAGUUGGGGCCACUCUGUCUGAACUUUGGCCUCACAGUCAGCUUUCUGUGCACAUUUUGUAAGGCACUGUGGGCUGUACCCUUUCCAUCCCACAGCCAGCUCAGCAGUUCCAGCUCAGGACUGUUGGCAGCUAGCUGCCUGGAACUACUAUUCCAAUCAAAUUCAUCUUGAUGACUUAGAUUAAUUGGGCUUCAGGAGUUUCGUUCUGUUCUGGUCCUUUGACCCAAAGCCUUGAGAUCCCAAGCAAUGAGUGAUCUGACAGUGAGGAACUUAAAUAUACCCACAGGACUCCUUUAAAAGACUAGGCUCGCCUUAGUCCUUGGCUGGAUUUCUGAAGACAACAAGCAAAAAAAGAGCAAAAACAGACAAACAAACUGACAGAAACUUCUUUUAACAGUUCACCCUGGCCUACAGGGGGCCGUUAGAUGUUAGCUACCCUGUUUUGUAGAGACUUGUUUGUUUCUGUUUUACUCACUUCAGUUUUAAUCAAGGAGAAUUUGCCUUUUAUUUACUUCUAAAAAAACAAGUUAAAUUCUCUUUCUGUUUCUCUUCUGAGUCCAGCUAAGGUUUUCUUAUAGGCUCUGCCUCCUUAGUGGCACCAAAGACUUCCAAGCAACAUCAUUCAUUCAUCCAUUCAUUCUUUCAGAAAUCAUCUAUUCAUUAAGAAUUAGUUAUUUGCUAACCUCACAGCCAGAAAGUUGGGGGUUGAAGAAUGGCCCCUGGUCAAUCCCAUGCAGAAUAAAUAUAGAAACUGGCUUCAAAAAGCAGGCCUCUGCCAACCUGAGUGGUUAACUCUCUUGAUAGUAGGAAGUCAAGAAUGGUUUAAGGCUAUGAGAGUGGAUAUAGUAGUAGGAAAGGUAUAGAUUUGAGAGAAGUCCCAAGUGGUGGCAGUGGCAGUGGCAGUGGCAAUGUCACCUGUGAUAGAACUUCAGAAUUCUAGAAAGUUUAGAAAUAGCAAGAGGUAUGACCCAACACUUUUUGCCAGGGGACAAAAAGCAGCUGGGUAUUGAUGAAGUCAUUGUCUUCUUCAGACAAGAAGAAUGAGAAAGAUUUCUGAGAUACCCACAGGAGAGAUAGUAAGACAAUGGUUGACUAUGAGAUUGGCAUCUCUGGAGUGAUCUGGAACUAAUGAUAAAGUUUAGGAUUUUGUGAAGUUAGAGUGAUUGUUGGAAGGGUAAAGGGAUGCCUUGACUGUCGGAUAAAAAGGCUCACAAUCAGGAAGACAAGAAUGGCUGGCUGCUAGAGUCAUGGUGGCCAAUGGCAUUACUCAAGUGCGAUGUGAAGAGCGAAGAGAAGUAUUUUAAGAGAAAACCACAAAAAAAGACAAAAUACCUUUUAGAAGUAUAUUCAUUAGGAAUGUUCAGAUAAAUGGAACCUGCUGUGUGUGUGUGUAUGUGUGUGUGUGUGUGUGUGUGUGUAUUUGUGCGUGCGCCUGCCCCCCUUGUAUGUGUGUAUAUGUGUGUGUCUAUGUAUCUCUCUCUCUCUCUCUCUCUGUGUGUGUGUGUGUGUGUGUGUGUGUGUGUAUGUGUGUGUGUCUAAGACAGCAAGGUAUAUAAGAUAGAUUGGCAAGUAUAUCAGUAGAUGGGUAGAUAGAUGAUAGGUACACAGACGGCACACACAGACAGACAGACAGACAGACAGACAGACAGAUAGAUGAUAGAUAAAAGUUAGAGAUUUAUUGUAAAGAAUUGGCUUAUAAGUGCUCAUAGAGGCUAAAGUACCAAAACCCUGCAUAGACAGACACUAAAGUCAAGAGAACUAACUGCACCAUCAGCUCUAAGCCUUAAGUUGAACCCUCAAAAGAACUGAUAUUUACAGCCAAUGAAAACCUCUAGUUCAUUCUUCCUGCUGACUGAGGGCAAGGAAGGACUGAGGGAAAGGGCUGAGUCUCCCACUCAAGCCUUCACCUGUUUGGAUUUAUCUCGUCCACACUGGGAAGGUGAUCUCCUCCAGUCUACUGAUUCAAACGGUCAAUCUCAUCCAGAAAUAGCUUCACUGAGAUACCAAUGAAAGUCUGUCUAGAUAUCUAUGGCCCAUUCGAGUCCACACAUAAAAGAAAGCACUGGCAGAGGAUAAAGAAGAUAUGCAGAAGGCAAUUAACAACAAGUAAACAAUAGAAGAAAGGUCUCACUUGUGUGGAUAACCAUCUAAACCAUCAUAUACACCCUUUCCUAGAGAGGGUUUUUACGUUUGUGUGCUGUUGUCUAUGUGUUUUAACAUGAUGAGUCAGAUCAGCUAUGAGAGAGCCCCUACAGGAGGCACUGUGGGUGUGUUCACAGGUGAACUGUCUUAUACCAUCAAGUUUGAUGAAAAAGUUAGGCAAGUCCACUUACAAACUGGGUGAGAGAGUUGACACGCCUUUCCAGUAGGAAUAAAGAUGGGUAAGUGCUGAUUAUGGCCACAGUCUCAGGAAACUUGUCUAUGUGCCCUUGUUAAAUGCAGUCACUUAUAAGGCCAGGGGAGAAGGAUCCACUGAAUCAGGAGAUAGGAAGUAGAAGAGAAUCCUACAGAUGCUCAUAUGAAGUCAGAUGGAUGCUAUCUCAGUGGAGAGCCAGGCCACAGAAACUCAUUUAGGAUCUGGCUUCCUUCCCCUAGGAAUAUGCCAGUACUCCCAGCUUUCUUCACAUUUGAUCAAUGUUCACUAUCACACAGCUAUUCUUUCUUAAUCAUAUUCCCAGCUGUCUCUUGAUUUCAUAUUUUUAACUUUUCAUUGAUUCUUGGUGAAUUUCACAUCAUGUACCCCAAUUCCACUUAUCUCCCCAUCCCUCCAUAUCUAUCCUCCGUCCUUGCAACCCUCCCACAAAAGAAAACAAAAACUAAAAAUAGAAACUGUCUUGAUGUGUAAGGUACUGUGUGUCACAGUGUGCCAUAGAAUAUACCCAUUGCCCAAACAUCUUUACUUGCAAAGGUUCAUUGCAGUGAAUCAUUGGUCUGGUUCAAGGCCUCUAGUUUCUACUAUAGCACCAAUACUGAAUCCUCCCUGGGACUAUUCUUGGAUUUCCUGUUGUCGUGUGUCGUGGAGAUCAGCAGCUUUGGCUCUGCAGGACCAGCCCCUUCACAAGAUCCAACAGUUCAUAGAUAGGGUCAAUGUUUGGUUAGGCCAACUCAAAGCCUUGAAUCUGAGCCUGGGUGGUAGCCAAGUGGUCAGCACACCAGCUUUCCUGCCCCUGUGCAGCUAGGGCCAGCUCUCCUCCUUUACCUAGGCAAGGGACAGGGCCAGCUCUCCUGCCCACUACAGCUGGCAAGGGUGUGAGGAACGGCUCUCCCAAGCUUAUGCCGUGAGGGUCAGCUCUCCUGUACUACCCCAGUGAGAAUGAGUGGCAAGAUCAUUUCCGUGCAACCCUAGGACAUCAACAUAGUCCCAGGCUGCAUCCCAGACUAGAGACAUCUGCAUGACCUUUGGUAGUAACAUGUGUCAUGAACAUAGACACAGACCCCAUUGCUACAGGGCCACAGAUCCACACAUGGCCCUCUGUGACAGCAUGAACUGGGAUAUCACCAUGAUCUUAGGUGGCAGUCUAAACUUCUCACAUCACACUGUUCCUCAUACCCUCACAUCUCCAAUUCCACCUCUCUUCACAGUUUGCAAGCGCUUCUACUUCUCUUUCUCUCCCAUCUCCACACCACAUGCUUGUUCAUCAUAGUGGUACCUGCCUACCUACUCCGUGAGAGACAGGUAGGCCUCUGGGUAUCAUCUGCCUUUCCAUGCCGGCUGGCAGGCCUCAUUAUUACUUUGUUGUUGUUGUUGUUGUUGUUGUUGUUGUUGUUCUUGUUCUUGUUCUUGUUCUUGUUCUUGUUGUUUUAAUCUGAAAUCACAGCCACUAGAAGGAGUGAGUUAGCAUUUACUGAGUGCCUGGCACCAUGUUCUCAACACACUGUUUCCUGCCAGCUGGCCUUUGAGGCGCACCAACAAAAGCGCAAUGUCAAAUCCCAUUGGAUCACAAAAAGCUGCCAGACUUGGGUAACAGUAGAAGGUCCCCAGUCUUCAUUUACAUUAGACACUGCAAAGUCACCCACAAAUGAACACUACUGCUGCUGAGUAGGAGAGCAGCCCCAGGGAUACACGACACUGCCCAUUGAACAAAGAAUGAAUCUGAAAUUCUAUGAGAUGUUUUUCGGGAAAGCAGUAAUAGUUGAAACCAAACCCAGGUCUCCAAACAUUGAUCCAAAGAUAGCCAGUUCUUUACUUACAUGAUCUCAUGGACACAGAUAGCUCAAGGUAGUUUGGCUACCUUCCUGUCCUGACAAAAGUCCGUAGUACUCAGCCAGAAGUCUCCUGCUCACACCAGAGCCAAGAGGGUUUUCUGUCUCUUAGAGACUUCCUUCAUCCAAUAACUUAUGAAAUUGUCAAUGGGCUGGGCAUUUUUUUGCCUGAGCUCCUCUUUAGGCUGGGAAAUCACAAGCUAGAGGGUCUAUUCUCCAGUAUUCUAAGCAUCAGAUAGGCUCACUCUGAGUUCUCACCUUCCCUUGGCAACCUUUUUGGAAAAAUAAAUAAAUAUAUAUAUUAAUAUUUCAUGAUCUCUGAUUUAAAACCACAUGUGCAACCUCUGAACAUUUCAAUUUGCAAAUUGUAUAAGUAAGAUAACAUCCUGAAGAUGGGAUGGAAUCAUCGAUUAGCAAUGUUCCUUAAAACAGAUGGAUACACAGUGGCGAGCAGUUUUCACAACCCAAGCCAUGGGUGAUUCUAAGCAGCAGGACCAUUGCAGGAAGAAGAAAGAUGAGCUGCCCAGCUCCACAAUAAGCAUGAGGAACUUUGGUCCUCACUCUGCCUUCAUGAGGCAGAGCUCUGUGAAUCCAUUAGUCAGUGUUCGUUUGACAUGUGCCCUAGGCACAAAAAAGUUUCAACUAAAGCUCUGUAGGGACAUCCCACAGAAGGGUGAUUCUGAUUCAUUGUAUGAAGAUUGUGUGGGCUAGAAAAAGCGUUAGGUAGAAUGCUUGCUUGAUGCACAAAGCCCUAGGUUUAGCCCCUAGCACCACCAAGAAGCAGACACUGACAUCACAAGUAUUGUCUGUUCAUGUCAAGAACAAACCUGUGAGACAGGCAUAUGAGUACAAAUUCUUACAGCACUGAAUGCUGGUCCUGGGCCUGUUUUUCUGUCUUUGUGUCACCUAGAGGGUGACAACUAGAAGUGCCUGGCAGCAGUUGUAAAAAGUGCUUGUAGAUCCUUGGUGAGAGGUCAUUGGACCAGAACAAUGCUUUGUGAUUUCUUAUUAUAUUUAAUGGAAAAUUGAAGCACUUGGAUAUUUCCAAAGUGUAAUUUGUUCUGAUGGGUAGGCCGACAGUGGAUUGGGCUGCUUCGCCAGGGAAGAGGCAAAAAAUAAAUUAAACAAAUUAAUGACUGUGACGCAUUCCAGGGGAAAGAAAAUGCAGUUGAUAAUCCACCCCCACUCUGGUCCCGAACAAAAAUCAUCAUUUUUAUUGCAGUCACAUCUCCUUGGGCUGCUGCUUCUUGUGAGUAUUUUUAAAGAAAACUUCCCCUCCAGUCGUUUUCUUUAGCCCAAUAAGCACAGUUGCUAAUUUUCUCUCAUUUGGAGAUUUCCCCCCUGGAACCAUAUGCCAUUAAAAUGCUUAGACAUGUGGAAAUGGGCUGAUGAAGAUAUGAGGAGACAGGGAGUUUCAGAUGAGCAGAGACUUUGUCAGACGGAUGACUCUGACAUCAGAUUCUCUAACUGAAAGAGAAAGAUCCUGCCACCUCUGGAAGGGGCAGUGAGGGAGGGGAUUGCAGUCAAUCUCUGGGAUGGUCCAGCAGUCAGAGAGAGAUGGAGGGAGGAUGAGCUCGUGUCCCCAUGGACCAUUCCAUACCUUGCUUUUAACAAGUGCACAUAUGGAUCGAGUGAGCAAAUGAAUGAGUGAGUGAACAAGAUGGACAAGUGACUACAGCAGAAUGUAGAGAAGAGUAAGCCUGGAGGGAUGAGGAUACUCACAACUGGGGCUAUACUUAGCCCCUGAAAACAGAGGGCGAGCCUCGGUGUGCAGCAGCUGGCCUUCGAUAUGAAUUUCUGGUGGCAGUAUGGUCCCAGAGCUCCUUGGCCCUUUUUUCAUAAGGUAUUUCCCAUUUGCAUUCCCUUGGGCAGCUACUCAGUUCAUACUUCCACAGCAACACUCAAAAUAUUUGAGAAUGAUAUUUCCGUAGCUCCUACUAAUCAGAACAGGUAUCAUCUUAUAGCCCGCAGCACUGAAGCUCGGCACUGUGGUUCAGAAGAGCAGACCUGAUGGAUCCUCUCAAGAAAGCAAAGCAUUCUGGGAAUGCAUAUCACCUUUGUCUUUACCCCUAUUUAAGCAACUAACUCAGGGUUAUAGGUUAAAUCAAGUUCAUUUAGUCACUGGGCAGAGCAGCGAAUCAAUACACCCAGCCCUUCUUAGCUUUGUGUUCUACAUUCAACCAUGGCUCUACUCAUCCAAUCAUGGCUGGAAAAUGUUUCCAAGGAAACAGUUCUAUCUUAUGAAUACGUAUGGAUGUUUUCCUCUUGGUCAUUAUCCCAUAAAUAACAUAAUGUAAUGACUUCACUAGGAUUCAGUUUGUCUUAGGUACUAUCGGUAACCUAACCAUAAUUCUAAGUGUGUCUGAGGGGUUUUGUAAGCUAUAAAUGAACACUCAGAUGUCAUAUGAGAGGUAAGCAUUUUGGGAGUCCUAGAGCCAAUCUGCUACGGGUGCCUAAGAGCUGCUGAUAUAUUGACUGGGGAAUGAAUGAUGUAAAGAAGCAAUGAUUGGGAGUGAGGUGAAAUUAGAUGUGUCAGGGAAUGUUAUUGUACCCAGAUAUUAUCCUACCCAAACUCUGGGGUGACUUGCCUUCUCACUGGGGACCAGAUGAGUCUCCCCUAGGACUUCCCGGUACUGAAGAGGAAGGGCCAGUGCAGACACUGAGCCCACAGGCAUCCAGGGCACUUCCUCCAGAGCCUUCUCUGACUCUGCAAAGUCAAUCUGUUAAUGCGUUCCAGCCUCCUCCUCCUUGUCAGGGAGUCCAGUGUAUUAAUUAAAAACUGCAGGCGGCUGUAAGUAUCUCCAGAACAAGGAUUAAGCCAGCUUUCUGUCAAUUGCUUUCAACGCCAUUGCUAUCUGCUAGAGCAAUGCUUUCUUUAGGGGUUAAAGCAACUUGCUUUUCACUUUUCUAUCCCCUCCAUUAUCACAUCACCCUGCUGGCCUCUUCCCCCCCGAUUCGUGCUUUAAGUCAACUGCAAAAGGAAGACUGUGUGCAAAAGACACAGAAAUCCACUUCAGAUAGUCAUAUAUGUCCUCAAGCUAAGCUAACACGGGAGAGGCCCAGAUCCUGGUAUUUUUACCAAUCUCUCAGCUUUAGCUGUGUUAAACUAUCAGGCAAUGCUUAGGUGUGCCAAUGAUACAAGCAAGAUGGAGGCCGAGUUUUACCUUACAUAAACCAUUUUUGUUCAUGCUUCUUUUCGCUUCAGUGGCCUAAGAGUUGCUCCCUCUGUGAUAGUCACUGAGUACUCCAGGAGAGAAAGAUAUGUCACCAAAGUGGACAGAACAAGGGGAAUCCUCUGGGUGCCAGGGCAUCUACAGGAGUGGGGUCUGCCAUGGUUGACCCUCAAUCUACAAUGAGUGUUAAGAUAAACUACCUACCAGGUUCUAUGAGACCGCCUUUAAGGGCUCUGUCUGGGUUGGAAGACAACACUGUCAAUCAAGCCAUGCUAUGUAUAAGGCUUGAGGCCCAGGAUGUGGACAAGCAGGGCUAUGAACUCCAUGUCAUUCCCAGCCCAUAUAUAAGAAGGACACGGAAUGGGAGGCAGCCAUCUACAAAGGCAGGGCAUAAUUAAACAUCUCAGAGCCCCCAGACAAUUCGUAAUUUACCGAUCUCUCAUGUUAUCAGCGAUGAAUAUUAAGUAAAUCAAUAAAUUCUCCACUGAAGUGAUACUCAACAAUAAUAGCACGAAAUCAGUCUGAACUCAACUCUAAUGUGACUAUAAAAUAAAAAUGUCAAAUCCAAACCAGGCUUUACUUAUUUAUUCCUUUUUCAGGCCAAAUGGGAACGGCCUUAAAUUCCUCUCCAAUGGUGACUGUUGGUCAUUACCCACUCCAUAUCCUUCCAUGCUUACAGAAAAUUCCUACAACACCCCACAGCACCCUCAUUGUGGCAGGCCUGUGUCUUGUUGCCGUGCUGCUCAGCAGAGUAUGCUGUGGAAACAGCUCCAGCAAAGAAGGAAAGGGAAGAGAAGAGAUCUAAAUCAAGAUAGCAUAAAUAAGCCUGUGGCAGGCGGAGAAACCCAAACAUCUAAUAACACCAGGGGAAAGUCGCUGCAGAAUUUAUAUAAAAACAGUAUAUCAGAAAAGCCAUUUGAGAGACCUUGGAGAAGCAGGAAUCUCUCUCUCUCUCUCUCUCUCUCUCUCUCUCUCUCUCUCUCUCACACACACACACACACACACACACACACACACACAACACACACACAAUAUCUUGUUUACUAUUCUGUGGUUUAAGCGUGUAAGAAUUACUCUUGUGAAGAAUUGGAGGUCAAUUUGAUUAUUUGCUGGCGUCAAUCAGUCCUUUAUAUUUCACCAUUAUAGUUGUGCUCUCUGCUCUCUCUCUCUCUCUCUCUCUCUCUCUCUCUCUCUCUCUCUCUCUCUCUUAUAUCUGGCCUACCCUUAUAAUUGUCCUUUCAUAGUGACCUGUUUACACUUGCACCUUUCAUCUUCUUUAGAUUUUAUUGCCAACAUAUUUCAGUCAUGAACACAGGGUUGAGAAAACGACUCGGUCAGUAAAAUGCUUUAUCCUCCAGCCUGAGGGCUUAAGUUUGAUUCUCAGCACUUACAUUAAAACUUGGGGUAAUGGGGGUAGUAGUGUAUCCAGUUCUGGGAGGCAGUGAAAGGGAGAUCCCUGGAGCUUGCUAGCCGGGGAGUCUAGCUGAAACAGUAAGCUCGAGGUUCAGUUAGAGACUCUCUCUCAAUAUAUAAGGCAGAAACUGACAGAGAAAGACAGCCAGUGUUAACCUUGGGCGUCCACAGCAUACAGAGUUGCACACAGAGAAAAAUACACACACUUGUAAACACAUACUCACAGAUGAAAUAAGUCAUAAACAAAACCCUCAAUUUAUUUUUAAAUCCUCAUAUUUCCUUUACUUCCCCUGACCUCUGCCAGGAUAUAUAAGAUAAGUAAACAUGAAUUUGUUCUAGCUACAUUUUGCUCGUGGUUGGCCGAGUUUAAACCAUAAUUUCUUCAUUCCCUUCCCUUUCCUUUGUCAACCGCUUCUUUCUUCUGGGUAAGCUCAUUCUUCAAGACUGCAGCAGCGUAGGCACGAAUGUCCAAGGAACUUCAACCAGUCCCCAUGGCUCAAUGCAGGAGCGACUGAACCAGAAUAUGUGUGGCUAGGAGAUUUGCUUCUCCUACUGGCUGCAUUGACGCCAAUGUCCCAUCUGCCGAUGACUGAGCUGCUGUUUCAGUCAGAAUGCCUGACCAUAGAAGGCACUUAGUCAUUCUGUAAGGAAGGGGACACAAGCACAAGUUUCGCAUGGGGCCUCAGCCUCAAAUCCUAGUCUCCCUCACCUGACGACAUCCUGUUCUAAUGUCCCGUCUCAUUCCUAAACGGACCUCCAUCCAACUUCCAGCAGCAGCUGGCUCCAUGGCUUCUGAGAGGCUCGCCACUCACAGUACUCUGUAAGACACCAUUGUGCAUCUACUGUGUGUAGUGAGUCAGAUGCUACGGGCAAUAAACUGGAAAAUGUAAAACAUGCUUUCUGCCCCUCUGCAGCUUAUGUUCUCAUUAGAGAAAAUGCAGAAAUAUGAAAAUCCAUUACUGAACACCCAGAGCAUCCCUCUUGAUGCCCACCUUUGCUUUCAGUCUCAGCAGCUCUCUCCUGUUUUGACUGAAAGUAAAGGGUAUGUGUGAUUCCUCUCCUCCAAGAUGAACCUUACCGUGGGUGUUUCAUAGCCGUGGUAGGCAGCCAGCCAGCUGCUCCCAGAGAGAUGCUAACAUUUGGAUCUUGAACCUCCCUCAAAUAGCCACGUGUUAAAGGGUCAGUCUCCAAGAUAGUUUUAUUGGCAUGUGGUAGAAUCUUUGAGCAGGAGGUUUUAGGAAAGGGUCAUUGGAAGCAGACCUUUGACAGGGAUUAUGUACAUCAGAGCUCCUUCCCCAAUCACUGUUUUGACUUCUGGGUGACUUGGUAGGCAGUCUUACUCUGCCAUACCUUCCUGCUAUACUGCCCAGCACCUUCCUCAGAAGCUUAAAAGCAAUGUGUUCACCCUACCAUAGGCUGGACCUUCUAAAGCAUGAACCAAUAUAAAACUCUUCUCCUCAUAAGUUGGUUAUUACAAGUAUUUUGUUACAAUGGUAGAAAACUAACUAAUAAAGGACAAAGGGAAUUUUGCCAAUUUAAUUUGAUUCAAAACUUGUGAACAUUUCUCACUGUUACCAACACCAAGAAAUCUUUUUUUCUGACCUAGGUAUGCAUCUUCGAAUUUUCUCCUUGAGAAAAUUCUCUGGACUCCUGGCCCAUGAAUCUUUUUUUUCUAGCAGGUCUAAUAUUGGCAAUUUCCCCUCUUUUGGGAAGGUCAAUCUUUGAUCCUAAGGAGGCCUGACUUUCAAUCUCUUUUGUCACAUUUUAGGUAAAAAAAAAAAGUCUGAGUUUUGAAUACAAAUGAGAUUGAUAGAACAUCAUAGCAUGCUAGAAUUCCUAAGAUAAGCAUGCAGGCAAGACUCACGGUUUCCCACUCAAUCUUCAUUCUCUAAGAUAUGAUGGGAAAAGGGAGCGAGGGAGACAGAUAUGGUUCCCCAACCAACCUUCCUUCUAUAAGGUGAGAUGUUAAGGAAGAGGGAGAAGGGAGGGAGGAAAGAAGGGAGAGAAGAAGGGAGGGUUGGGCAAAGGGAGGGAGAGGAGAAAGUGUGUGUGGCAUGGUGGCACAGAGUAGGAGACUGGUUGGCCAGUGUCUCCAGCUGUGGCUCGCAGAAGGCUCUAUCGUCUAUGUGUAGGAGGAACAUGAAAAUGUCUUGAAAUACACCAAGCAUGAGUAAGGGCCUUAAGGCAGAAACAAGAAUGAGUGAUGAGUAGAUCAUAGUGAGGAGGCAAGCCUUGCCUGAUCUGGACCAUUUAUGAGUCAUGAAAUUGGGUGACUAAACGGGGCCAGAUUCUAAAAGACCUUAGCCGCCAAGCAAUGUAAACAAUGGAGAUCAGUGUGGUCCUUAUGGGCGUUACACACCCUUUAAUGUUUUAAAGCUGACAAAUAAUCUAAGGCUCAGGAUGGGAGUUGUGGCCAGAUGCCUUACAUUCCUCUUGGGCCUGUUGCCUGAUCUAUCUUGGACCCCAAACACACUGUCAUGCAGAUUUUCUUGGAUUCUUUAUUUUGCUUUGAAUGUACACAGUGGAGAACUCGAUGUGAGCUUGGCUGGUUGCUCUAAAGGAUGGGACUCUGUUGUGUAUGCAUCUGUUGAUGCAACUGGUACCCAGACCAUCUGUGGGUGGUUCCUGCCAUUCUUAGCAACCUUCCUCUCUUGGAGAAUGAAGGCUGCUACGUUGAGUCACUUGGUGGCCACCGAAUUUUAUUUUUGGAAUAUGUCCUAGAUACAGCAGGCUUCCCACUCACCAAGCAGAAGAAAAUGCCCUUUUAGAAGAGGAUCCCUGUUUGCCUGACAACAGCUCCGGUACAGCAGUCUCUCUCUUUUGUCAGAGGCUGAAUGGGGAGAUGCUCAGUCUUUGAUCUCUGAGCAUCCUGAGCAUCCUGUGGUGCUCCCUGUCUGAUGACCUAUACUCACCUGUCACUCCAUGGGAAGUACAUCACCACGUCAGCGCUCCAGAAGAAUCAGAAUACUAACAUUUAAGAGUUAUGAGGAACGUUAUCCAAUAAAGCCAAUAAAGGUCAUUCUGUAUUGUCUUGCUAGCUUCCUCUUUAGAAAACUCACCACUCCACAAAGAAUUCUAAGUCAUGGUGCCCAGGUAACACUGUGGAACACUAAACUUUGUAUCUAGAACUAACCAAAAAAAAAUCACUAUGGGUCCAGCUGAUUCAUGUCUAGGAAUUUGUUUAAAAGAAUAAAUGAAUGAAUGAACAUGGAUCGAUAAAUGUAGACUAUCCCUCCAUGUGUGCACUAGUAGAGGAUCGUUUAAUAGGUUGAAAACCUGUUGGCGAAUGAUGAAGGUCAAUAUAGAGAACAAAGAAUAGCUAACAAUUUUAGCUGUAUGCCAGGCAGGCUUCUGAAAACCUUCCAUGUAUUAUUUCAUAGAUCCUUUACUCAGUCCUGGGUGCUUGGUGGAGUAUGUAUGUGUGUGCUUGGAGCACUUGGGAGUGAACCCUUCAGAGAUUUUGAUGAUAUCUCCCUUCUGACACCUCUUCCAAGAAGCUUCCUGAAUUUCUCUUCCCUCUGCCUCAAUGCUGUUAAGCUAAUAUGUUGGCCCAGGCCAAUCACCUUUCCUCCCCAUCUAGGCAAGGCAGACUGUCAGAGAAGGUGGGAGCUUUGGGGGUUUAGGGGAGAAGGAACAGAAGCAUAGGAAAAGCCUGGAGGAAGAAAACUGAAUCCCACUGGUUAGUCAAAUGUGUCUUUCUAUCAAAUGCAUUUUUCUGCUUAAGUUUCCCAUGUCUUGAGAAACCUGAGUCCUGCAGGGCUGUCUUCUUGACUCAGCCCUCGAGCAGAUAUAGCCCACCUCUUAGCAUGGCGUACUAUGAGCCAGGAUCUCUCCACGCUAUCUGCACUCUACUUUCCUCUAACAUUCAGGCUCAUGCUAAACUUUCCUGGACCCUGUCUCUGAUUGGAGCAGGACUGAGAACUCUGGGGUUCUCACUUGCACUAAUCUCCCUCCAUAAAGGAGGAUGAGUUCAUACAGUAAGAGAGCUUUUACUUUGUUCUGAUCUUGAAUCUUGACAAUUUUUUACUAUCAAGUGUAAUUUCAAUAAUAUAGAAUUGGUUUCUUAUUAAAUCAUAGGAAAAAGAUAUCAAGUGUGGUAGGUAUUGUACUGUAAGUUGAUUACAAAAAGCAUUUAUUGAGGUUUAACCACUAGGAAGUGGAUAGAAAAUCAAUUACACGGUAGUUAAGCAUCCAAUAAUAUGUGUUUUAAUGAGCAAUUCAUAUUUAACACCUCUUAUGAAAUAAUGAGCUGUGUUGAAAUUUGGGGACAACCAAGCAGCACUUGGGAUAUCUGGGCUGACUCCCAAGGAACCCGACGCCAUGUUUGAUCAAAUAACAUCAAAGCUUUGGAGUAAUGGUAUAUGAGGACUGGUUCACUGUCCAUGCUGGCCUCACGGCCUCAGGACUGACUACAGAAAUAGGCACACAACUUCUGGGAGUUUCCCAUGUAGACUGGGAAAAGCCAUGUAGAGGUCAGACUGGCCUGGCGAGUGACCAGGGUGGGACUGCCUCCUGGGUUGGGUGGUGCUUAUACUCUGAAACAUUAGCAUUCCCAAUUUCCCGGGUACAUGCAAACAGUGUGAUCCUUCUCUGAUCCUGUCUGGCCUUUAACGGCUGCUGAGACCCAGCCUCCACUGCUGGCUCCUGGUCACAGGGUCUCCCACAUGAAGUGUCGGAGUCAGAUCCAGGACUCUCUACCUGGAAGCUGCGUGUGUCAGUUAUGUGCACACAUGUAAUUCAGCUCGUUACAAUCCAGGCUUCUCCUUAUGACUGCCUUGAGAAAUCAGAUGUGAUUUUAAGGUCAGAAGGAGCUGGAGAGUUUUAGAACCUGUCAAGAUAUUGACAUUUCCAACUUCCGUGAGAAUCGGUCUGGAAUCGUCUCUACUUCCAUUUCGGGAUCUAUACCAUGUGGUAUUAGGCACAAAGGAGUCCGUUGGUUUUGUUGUUAUUGUGUGAGUUUGCGGUAUAUAUGUAUUCAUGUAGCACAUGCGUGUGUGUCUAUGUCUGUCUCUGUGUGUACAGGUAUACAAAUAUGUGUGUUAUUGUGCUUGUGAAACCCAAGUUUCACAGUUUGACAUUCAGUAUCAUACUCAAUCAUUCCCUAUCUAUUCAGAAAAAGUCUCUCACUGAACCUGGAGUUCUGCUGAUUGGCUGGACCCGAUGGCCAGAGAUCUCUAGAGAUCUGCCUAUCUCCGACCCAGCCCCAGGACUAGCUCUGCAGAUGUGUGCUGCCAUGCAGGCUUUUUCACAUGGGUGCUGGAGAUCCAAACUCAGCUCCUUGUGCUUAAACUGCAAGCACUUUACUCCGUGGGCAAUCUCCCAGCCCCUACUAGUUCACAGUUUGCUCAUCUCAAGAGUCCUUGAGUUUAACCAAUUCACAGAUAUUUGGCAGAGUUAUAGGAGAGGUGAAGGAGAGCACAAAAGUGGAAGACAAGAAGAAAAUAGCUGUGUUGAGAUGACCAUCAAAAAUGAGAACCAGCAAGCACAGGGAAUACAAAAUGCACAUUUCAAAGGGAAAAGGACCUCCAUGGGGAAGGUUGGCCACAAGUGGGAGAAGCUGAGUGGAGAGGGACUUGAGGAGUGAAUGAGCUAUUGAUUUAGAAACACAGGCUCUGGCUGGCAUGAAAACCAUGGAUCUUGAAACCAAGCUGUGGUGUGUCUGAGAAUUGGCAGAUGGGAUUGGGCUCUAGUGCCUGGCAGACUGCUUUCUGGUUCUUUCUACCAUUUGCUAGCAAUAUGGCUCAGAGGUUAUUUAACUGCUCUAUACCUGGAGGUUCAGUACACAAGUUGCUAUGUCAACUACUUAGUACCCACCUUACUCUAGUUAACAUGAAAUAUUAAUUGACUGACGUGUGUGUGUGUGUGUGUGUGUGUGUGUGUGUGUGUGUGUGUGUGUGGUGGCAUUCACCUUACAUGGUCAGGUUGUGGUAGUGAAUUGGAAAAACCUCAUGUAGAACAUCCCAUGUAUUGACUGAUAUAUAAUCAGUACAAGCUUAAUACUAGCAGUUAUUCUUAUUACCUUUAUUAUUAUAAUAAUAUCCAGGCACCCAGUUACUAUAGCCAUUUAAUCUUAUUAUCUAUGUCCUUGCUGUCAAAGAUAUUGAGACAUAUUUCAUGACCUCUUAUCAUAUUGACUGACACAAAACAUGUUCUCAUAUUAUGUCAAAUAAAUUAAUCAAUUAAUUCACAGAAUUCUAGUAUAGGAAAGAGUACUUAUUGAAUGUCUUACUAUAGCUAUAGAUUAUGUGAACAUAACCCAUUAACCCUUUUAUGAUCAUGUAUAAAUUAGUAAUAUGGGGUUAAAAUACCUAUUCUUGAAUUCUAUGUUUCAACUUGGAAACCCCAGCAGUUAUGGUCACAGUUUGUGACUACCUGAAUUUCCCAGCAAUCACUUUCAAAGGGAAGUAAUUAAUGACAUAGGUUGCAGAAAGGACUCUUGGCAGUGACAGGCAGAACUCGAAUGGGGGCCAUAUAUUAGGGAAGGACAAUAGUGGCUCUGCUUAAAUGGUGGGUCCCUGCUGACUAUGGGUUCCAUAAUGGUCGGCCGAAGGGGAAUGGUGUUUCUGUAAUAGGUUGGUGAAAAAAGUGUGUGUGUGUGUGUGUGUGUGUGUGUGUGUGUGUGUGUGUGUAAGCAACAGGACAGAAUAAUACUGGAAAAGGACAAAAACAAAACUGUGAAGUAAGGAAGAUGCCUGGAGACCUGCAUCCUGCCCAGUCAAGGCCUCCAUUCAGCAGCUUUUACUAGAGAGGGCUUGACUCAUGUUGAAUAUUUGAUAAAUGGAUAAAUAAACUGGUGAAGGAAUAACUAAAGGGACCUUAACAGGCCACAGAUGAUGAAUAUAGGCAUGCCAUCGCAGCUAUUAAUACCAACAAAGUGAUAGAUAACAAAGCAAUUCUUGACAGAGGCUUAGACUGCAGAGUAUGCUCAUCAAUGUGCCGACGUCAAAUCAAGAUGGUAGCCUAUCUGGAAUGUUUCCCUUUGUCUUUUUCAUCCAGGCCAACGAAACCUGAAGGUUUAAGCACAGAUACCUGUGUGAAAGAGAGAAUAUCUCUUGGGACUAAGAGGCAAUUAGGGUAGGGGUGGGUUAGCAGCAUUUCCUGAAGGCACCGGGGAAACCUGAGAUCUGUUUGCUCACAGCCUAGAGGGACAUCUUUAAAGAUUUGCUAAAUUGCAAGGGCAGAUUAAAACGGUACUUAACUACUCCAGGCCACAUUCUUCAAGGGGCCUUGUGGAGAAUGUGGGAGGGAGAAUGGCAUCUUUGAAAGGAAGUGAGUGGGAACUGGGAAAGAGGGUGAGGGGAGAAGCUUCCAGACCAUCCUCAGCCUGGUAGAUGGUGGUACUUCCUAAUCAUCUAUGACAAAGUCCUCAGGAGUUCACUUGUGGUGAAUGUUGCUGAUAGGCAGCUGAGCAUCCAGCACAGAUGCCAGGACACCUGAGAAGGACGGUGAUGGUUUUGCCAUUGCAAGAAUCACAGUUGACAGCAGAGGUUUGGUGACGGAGGUAGGGGCAAGAAUACAGUCUGAAAAUCUAUGCACAUGCCAAAGCAGUUUUGUCAUUGCCGAAGCAACCCCAAAGUGAAGCAUAAUGGAGAACUCAAGGCAGAUAGAGUCUGUCAGUGAGAUUUAAUUUGUUUCAGAACUGAGAGAGUUGCGGGAGGCCGCGGCUCUUGAUUGGAGUGGACAGCAGAGAGGUAGACGGGUAAGGCACAGGAGCGAUUCAUUCCAGAUAGGACUCGAGUAAACCAAUCCGAUAAAUCUCUUCAUUAGGGUCUUGAAUAAAAGGCAAGUGGAAAGAGGGCAGAGCACAGCCUGCAGAUUAAAUUUGGUCAGAGCCAAUAUCUGACAAUCCCCCAUGCUGUUAUCCAAAUGAAAGCUAAUGCAACUAUGAAUUAGCAGCCCCAGGAGCCAUGGAAGAGGGAAUUCAAUUCACUAAACUCAGCUGUAGCCUAGACUGAGAGAGGAGCCAUGGGAGGCUGCUGUGACUCCCCAAGUAUGCAGGUAUUAGGAAGUAUGCAGGUAUUGGGAAAGAGCUACAGGAUGCAGAGCCCAGUGUGGAUCUCAGCUUGGACUGCAUGCCUUGUCUUGAGUUGGCUACUGGGAUGGAAAAAACAGACCGUUCAUAGCUAAAGGCCUGGGAAGCCCAAAGAGUGCCAGCAGCCCAGAACCCAUCCUUAUCCUCUCGCCUCCAUCUGGCCAACCUUGAGGACUGCUUUCUUCACAGUGAGCCCGGGAUAAAGUUCCAAGCUGUGCUCCUGAAAUCUCAUUAAGACCCCACCUCUUGAAUCAAGUAACAGGGAGUCCCAGACACUGAGACUAGCCGCUCCCUUACUUUGUUCUAAUUUAUUCAAAUUGGACAAUAUUGAAAAUAAGGGGACAUGGGGAGCACAUGUGACCUUCCAUCACUUGCAGAGAUCAUCUUUUAAUGUUCUCCUUAGAUCAUGUGCCUGCCCUUGACACUUGCAUCUGUCAUUCUGAGCCCAGUGACCUUGCAGUGCUGCCCUUUCCCCUGUUCUCCUGUCCAGAUGACAAACUCCAUGAUGGGCUUGAUAUGAAUGCAUUACUAUCCAUUUAUAUCUGUCCCUACUGACUUAAUCUUGCCCUGAGCAUGUCUGUCCUUCACUGGCACUCCAAUUGUAUGAUGUAAGUAUGCCUGAAUGCUUCUCAUAGGCAGAGUCAGCCAUGUCUAAGAUAUUCUGUUUCUACAGUGCCAAUGGGGGCUAUUGUUGGACAUCAUUGGAUAUAAGGGCAUCACAUUGUAGGUAGGUAGAGAGAGCCCAGUCCAAUCCCCACCCCCAACAGUUUUAACUAUAAGCCAGUUAAUAAGAAUGAAUGAAGAUGAAUGUUAGACCAGAGAAGCUGCUAAAAGCCCAGAAGCUUCAGAAAACAAUUCCAAGAACCCACAGAGUGGGCCACCAGACCACUGUGUCCUCUCACUCCAAUGAGAGUGUUUAUCACUGAGAUCUCUGCUAGCCAGAGUUCAAGGGCAGAGUCUGGUCCUGGAGACUUGUUCUACAGUGGUAGGGGUGGAGGUUUCUGAGUAUGAUCUUCCAAUGCUACUCUCCACGCUGCACUGCUUCCUUAACAUGACAAAUUGGAGAUCCUGCCUUCCUUUCCUGCCUGCAUGUUAAUGAACCAAGCCUUGUAGACAUGGUAAGGAGUUCACAAACAACACAGCUUUAAGGUACUCAGAAAAAUAAAACAAAAUUUCAUAGAACAUUUGCCCAAAAUGUGGAAAGGCAUCUUCUGUAAGCCAUAGAUUCAGAGGAGACUCUAAAGGAAAAGUGCUGAGAGAGUGCCAGACAGGAGGUGCAGGGCAUUCAGACCUCUGAGAUCCCCUCAUACUCAAGGAUUUCAUUUCUUAAAAUAGUACAUCCUUCAACACAGUGGCACCCGCAAUAAAUGCCAUUCCAUUGCACCUGAGUGACCUUCUCCAGCUUAGACAACAGGUCAGGCCAGUGGGUGGGGCUUUCACAAAAGGAACCCAGGUUUUCUGAAUCUGGGGUUGGGAUGAUUACCUAAUUUUUUGCUGCCAGGUUGCUGUGUUUGUUUUGAGACAUGUGGCUAGUGAGAAUUGGGCCUUGGGACAGAAGAAAUGUUGUUGUCGUUGUUGUUGUUGUUGUUGUUGUUGAUGAUGAUGAUGAUAAUGAUGACAUCAUGCUAAAUGUGCCUGUUUAUCAUGUGCCAGACAUGAUGCUAGAAAUACAGAAUGCAUUUCUUACUUAAUCCUUAGCCAGUAUGUGCUUCAGAAUGCUAUUAUUCCAAUUUAAGUGAAAAAUCAAGACUGAGAAAUGAAUAAAUUGAUCACAGUUACAAAGCUCUUUAGUGACCCACAGUCACUAAACAUAUUUCUCAAUAGGAAAACUUGAACCAGACAUCAUAGGAAUGCACUGUUUUCUAGAAUUAUUUGACCAAGAGGAGAGCCUAGGUAUGAUCCAAUCAAACCUUUGUUAGCCCAGAAAACAGCAGUACUUCUUCAAGGCCAUGCCACAGGAUUGUUGUAAAGCUGGCAGUAAAGUUCUGCUCUCCUGAAUUGUUCUCUCUUUUCCCCUUCACCCACUUACCACCACCUCUUUGAAUUUCACUUUGGAGAACUGGACUAUUUUAGUUUUUGAGGAAUUUGUUGAUGACUUCCAAUGAAUGAAUGAACUGUGUAUGGGAAGUAGAAUAUCAAAAAGCUGGAAAUUAAUCAAGAAAGAAGUUUCGGAUCUAUUGAAUUAUGAUACCUAUAGUAACAGAGAUAAGAACCUGGGAAGCAGUCCUCCUUUUCUGGUUACAUCACCUGACUUGGGGUGAGCUACUUCAGAGAAGACUGUAAGGGUUGGAAGUAUCUUGUUCUAUUCCUGAGAGCUUUGCUGACCCAUGCUUUUGCCUGAGUUCUAAGACAGAGUGACAGAGGGGAAAUGAUUCUUCUCUGAUUUCCUCCCAAUAGCCCAUGGUCCGGAUAGAGUGGUAUCAAUGCCACUGAAUGCUCCAUGCCAGGCUGACUGGGUCUCAUUCUGUAGUCCAGGCUGCUCCAGACAAGCCUUGAAUUAGGUAGAGGAUGAUUUCCACCUCUUUUCUCCCCACCCCUACCCACAGUGCUGGGAUUACAAGCAUAAGUUACCGCACCUGGACCUAGAGGGAUAAUUUAAAUGCAUACUUCUUAAAACUAUGCUUCCAGAAUUUCUGACUCCAUUUAUACAGUAUUUUAGUUGCUUCCCAGAUGAUUCUGAUAUUGGUCAGAAUUACAGCCAUUCCCACAGGUUUUGAUGUUAUCAAGCAAAGAAGAAAGUCACCUGACCAGUCAAGUAAAAGCUCUUCUGGGGGGAUCCAUUUGCUUGCUUGCUUUGCACCAUUGCCAAAGAAUAUUCUGAGGAUGACUGCAGCGCCAAGGGACAGGAAGGAAGGGACAUGUGCACAAGAUUCAUUAUUUUCAUGCAGAUGAAACGUUCAGUAAUUACAACUUCUUGUCAUACAUGAAGGCUCAAUUGAGAUAGAAUCAUGAACAGUGUUAGAUUAUUUAGAUCAAUUGAUCCUGAUAGCAAGAAGAUCAGACUUCCAUCAAGCUAGGUAGUUAUUUAGAUAAAUGAGGCAGCUAACCGCAAGGCAAAGGCAGCCUCUCGCUAACACAGCCAUAUGUGAAUUCACUGGAACACCUGGAGCUGAAGCAACAGGAGGAGAUGAAGGCACCAGAAUUCGAACGUUUAUGACCAUAAAGGCCUCCCCUAGUGCAUUUAGCACUGAGUAACUCAGUCACUACCUUACAAGGGCAAAGAGAUUAGAGACAAGCUAAGAUGGUGGCAGGUGGCAGGCACUGAAAAUAAUCCAUCCAAAGUCACAGGAUUGACGUGAAUAUGACGAGUUCAGUACCAAGAGCAUAUCUUAGAAUGUCACAGGAAUGGGCACUUGCUUGGAGUGUAGAAGACAACAUUCAAAGUUCAUAUUGUAAUUAGUACAUGUGUAUAUUCACAUAUAUACCCUAUGUAGAAAUAAGGAAAAGUUCCUUCUCUCGUCUGUAAAUUUAAAUGAGGUCCAGAAUGGUGAAGGCCACUUGUAAGGUCUGCUGAGCUAAUGGAUUCAUAAUGACUUUUAAAGCUUCACUUGGGUAAGAAAUACUGUUCAUUUUUUAAUUGCAUAUAAUUAUACUUUUUUCAUAAUCUAGGAUGGCAUAGAAAAAAGUAAAUCUACUGGCUUAAUUAUAAAUCUUUUUAUUAUCUGGAACCCUGCUGAAAUAAAAGGAAAAAGAAACAACUAUUGUUUUUUCUAAUCUAAGAGAAAGGAUUUAAACAGUACAUGCCCUCAGUGUUAAAUGUGUUAGGUUGCUUUUGAUGGGGGAACUCUAGUUAGCCAUACAUUCCACACUGUUCUAGGAGGCAAGACGUAGAUCUGCCGGGGAUUCUGAUCUGCCAGAAUUCGGGCUGCAUCAUGACCUUGAAGCCAGGCAUUAGAGGACUAUUGGAGACGCUAAGAGUUUGUCACUUGCAGAUUCAUGGUGAGAAAGCAUCGAGCCUCAAGGAGUUGGAGGUUGACCAACGCAGCAAAGGUAUCGAGAAGUCAAAAAGUUGAUGCCUCACGAGCCUGAUCAGAUUUCCCAUCUUCAGAGUCCUGCUUAAUAAUUUCUCACCUGGACCCUUCGAUGACUUUAUAACUAUUCACACUGCCACUGUUGACCCUGGGAAGGGAAACUCACCUCUCAAGAGCACACGAUGGCAAUGUAGCCAUGAGCAUCGUCUUCACUCAUAAGAUUUGCUGAAAUCCAAGUUUCUUGUAAAUUAGAAAUGCUGAAUCCAUCGCAUGUAGAGAGACUGCACCAUCUGGAAGGGUGGCAGGGCAAGUUUGAGUCUGAACAGAGAUACUGAAGGGACAAGAGAGACACAGACCUAGACUGUAUAGAGGUACCAACAUGCCCCUUCAAGCCCAGUACACUACUUGUCUUUUCACAAAGGAAGAUAUGCCUAACAGCUCAACAGAGGAGGCUGCCUCUUGAAGGGAACGGAGCUUCUACUGUGAUCAGGAGAGGCCCUUUGCUAGGAAACCUGGGAGAAUAAGGUCACUGCUGAGUGCACCAGGCCGACCUUGAAAGGCACAGAGAACUAUCUUCUCAGAGUAGAAACUCAUGAUCCUCUGAAAGUCUCUUCUAUCAGUUUUGUAAAAGAGUAUUCAGUCAUUGUUGGGAGGGAGGGGCAGGGAGCCCAGAAGGAAAAACCAAUUAAGCUCUUAAAGGUUGAACAACUCAUUUGGGUCCAAUAGAGAUGAACGAUAUUGCUGCCCAUCUCAGAGAGAGAGGUGGCUUCUUGUGAAGAGACAGCACAUUGUAAUUAACAUCCUUCCCAUCCCUUGGGAUAGUUUUGUACCACUCUCCUAUAAGUAUAACCAUAAGCCUAACUCACACAGGUCCUGUGACAAUGUAAGUACAAACUACCAAGGCUGUCUUUAAUCUCCCAGCACUACCAUCUAGUCUACACCCUGGACCUGGUACCAAGUACUCCCUUCUCACACUGAAACCCCUAUCCCAGUAGCCACUGGCCUCAGAUCUUCACCUGGAGUUUCUUUUUCUUCUCCUCUCGCUCGUUCUGUGUCCAAACUGCUUUCCUUGCACCUAAUUCUGCUUAGAAUUGGUGUUUUAUUUCUUAACCUUAUCUCCAGAAUGAAGCAGGAUCUCCAACUAAUAAUGUCCUACAUCCUGUAGUCAGUGUGAGCUUUCUGGAAGAUACAAAGGUGGUGUGUGUGUGUGUGUGUGUGUGUGUGUGUGUGUGUGUGUGUGUGUGUAUGUGUGUGUGAGUGUGUGUGUAGAGUAAAAGACCAUGCUUCUGGAAACUUCCCUUCUUGGGCUUAUAGGAUGAUAACUGCCACAAACACAAAUGCAAUUAUUGGAAGUUGGCUAUCUAAUCUGAAUCGAAAUGGUAGGAUUCAGAUCCAGACCCCAUUGUAUGGUUUCAGUCAAGACAAAGAGCAUACGUCUCAUCCCUUAAUUUCCUCAUAGCAGUCAAAGCAUAUGUCAGUUUAGAAUUCCAGUCCUGUGACCUUCAGCAAUAGAGUUGACCUCAAUGUUUUCAUCUGAGAAAAAUAGAUAUGGAGAAUGCUUAGCCUUAGAGCUGUAAGAAUUUGAGGACGUAGGAAGGUCAAGUGCCUUACAGGAUCAGAGGCCUAGCACUCCAUGCUCAGUCGUUGGCUUUUACUGUUGCUGCUGUUAUUUCUAUUAUUAGGCACAGAAAUCUGGCUACCAGUCCCAGUUUUUCCUCUCCCUGGUAGCUUGACCUUGGUUGAGCUGUAUAAUUUUUCAGACUUAGUCUUUGCAUCCAUUAGAGAUAUGAUUAAUAUUUUCUGUCUUACCAGUUAUGUGUAGGUUUGGCAAUAAUGCACAGAAAGCCCAACCAAGAUGGCUUCAACGAGCAGAGAUCCAUUUGUCUCACUUAGCACAGAUUCCAGGGAGCUGCCAUUUCAGUCAACUUAGCGGUGCCUCAGCAUCAGGACCACAUCUCCUGGAUGCUGUCAGGCUUUUCAGCCUUUCUUACCCAUGGCUACUCCCUGAUGUCCCAUUAUGACUGUUCUUUGAAGGUUUAUCCUUAUUCUAGACGUGGAGAAAGAUAUAGGGAUAGCAUGUUUUCAUCUUUGUUUGUAUAUAUGUAUGUAUGUAUGUAUGUAUGUAUUAUGCAUGUGGAUGUACAUGAUGUAUAUGUAUUUUAUAUGAUGUAUAUGUAUGUGUACUUGUGUAUAUACAUGAGCACACAUAUCACACACACAUAUAACACACACACACACACACACACACAUCUCCACAAACUUUCCCACACCCAACACUGAAAAUCUUUGCUCCCAUCAUCUUGACCAGGACGAAGAUGACUGCAGAGGCUGUCAGCCAACACUGUCUGUCACUCUUACUGAUAGAGUCGAGAUGAAGAUACACGAGCUAGUGUGUGUUAAAGUGCCUUGUAAGUGCCUUACAAAAGUAAGUUGUUAUCCUUACCCACACCCUGUACAAAGGAGAGGCCAGUCAAGUGGCAAGUGAUAACUAUAUUGUUCGGGCCUUUUAACCCACACUGAGAUAAAUGGAAGGCAUUUAGAAGGCGAUGGUAGCUUUAGCACCAGCUGACAGGUCCUAUCCUCUCGUAGGCGAAGCUGGAGGUUAUCCUGUUUCGUUCUGCUAGAGAGAUGAUGCUUGGAUGGAGCUUGGUUGCUUCAAUUGUCUCUGCUUGAUAUGACCGUGAGGCUAUAUCCUAGAUAAAUACAGAGAAUCUCUAGGAACAGCAGGAAGUAUUCCUGAAAGACUCAUUCGCCAGUAAUGGGAUUAUGUUAAGUUAAUGAUAGGUAGCCCUUAAUGUGUGCCCUCCCUAUUCAUGUAGCCUUCUGACAUCCUUAAUAAGCAUCUGCUAUUUUUUUAACAGCUUUAUUGAGGUAUAAUUUAUGUACCACGAAACUCACUGCCUAGUAAAUGUACACCAUUGUGUGACUAUCACUACAAUCCAAUUUUAGAACACUCUCAUCUCCCCCAAAUGAUCCUUCAUGCCAAUUUGAGGAAAGUCCCCAUUCCCAGGCUUUGCUGCAAAUGACAGUUCUAUUUUCUACCUCUGUUGGGGAUGUCUUUUUCUGGACACUUCGUCCCAGUGGAGUUGUACAAUAUGUGGUCCUUGGCAUCUGGCUCCUUUAGCAUGGUAUGAUUUGAGGGUUUGCCCAUGCUAUAACAGAUAACAGUGAUCUGUGACGUUUGAUCGCAGGCAAGUAUCUGUUACAAAGAUUCACCCCAUUUUAUUUAUUCUUUACCAGUAGGGGAGCAUUUCUGCUUUUCCUACGUUACUGCCAUUAUACUGUGAGCAUUUAUGUCCCUGUCUUGGGGAAGAUGCUCAUUUUCAUGUCUCAUCUGUAGAUAUCUAGGAGUAGAACUGCUAGGUCAUAUGACAAGUUUAUGCUCACACUUUAGGAACUGACAAACCACUUCCAUUCCUUCCAUCGACAUUUUUUAUUCCUACCUGCAACGCCCCAGCAUCAGUGAUUGAUUAUUCCUCUUACAUCACAUCCUUGCCCACAGUUUUUUGGGGAUCAUAAAUACUUUUUCUAGGCAUGACACAAUAGUUUGUUAUGGUUCAAAUCUUAUUCCUUGGCGACUAAUGGUGUUGAGCAUUUUUCCACUGGUGUAUUCAGUUAGUAUGUUGUUAAUGAGCCUUUCGAAGACCUUUGCCUAUUGUAGAGUAGAUUUGGGGGAGAUGGCUUCAUGGGUGCAAUUUUUACUGUUCAAGCAUGAGGGCCUGAGUUUUGGAUCCCCAGAACUUACAUAAAGCUGAAGGUAACAGCACACAUCUGUAAUCCCAAAACUUCUACAGUGACAUGGGAAGUAGAGAUGGGAAGUUUAUAAAGACAGCCAGCCAGGCAACCACAAUGGUCAACAAAAGACUCUGUCUCAAGGUGAAAGGUGAAGAUAGGUGCCCAAGGUGUCUUUAGACUUGCAUACCUACUCUACACUAACACACAAAUCUCUCUCUCUCUCUCUCUCUCUCUCUCUCUCUCCCUUUCUCUCUCCCUCUCUCAUACAUAUGUGUUGUUGUAAAAAUAUAAAAAUAAUUAGGAGUAAUUGUCUUUUACCCGGCUAGGUCCGCACGGCGGUGCCCAGAUAUCUGCUAGAUAUCUUGGCGGAAACACAUCCCAGCCUCACACUUUCCUGCACUCAAACCCUCACAUAAAAGAACACACAACACAAUAAUCUUUGACCCAAUAGGUAAGAUAUAAUUGCCCACUUAAACAUACAAAGCCCGGUACCAUCCAUCCCUUGAGAACAUUAAUAACAACCUGUAAAUACACAGAGCAGAAUCUUAACAUCACCUGCCAUCUUGUCCUGCCACGGCUUCUCCCCUCUCUCUGUCCCUCGUCUCUUCCUAGUCUCCUCCCCUUCCUUCAAACUUCUCUCCUGCCCAUCCUUCCUUCUCCUCCAAUGACAGGCCUCCUUCUAUCCUGUACCUGCCUCCCCUGUGACAUCAUCCUACACAUAUGCAUCGUACAUACCUAUUUAAUUAAGUAGAUUUAACUUUUAGAACAACUUUACAUUCACAGCAAAAGUCCCCAUGCCUUUGCCCAACCUCCAUGUGGUCAGAGCUCAGAGGCUACUGUUUGUGUUAAUAUUAACUCAUUCCUGCUGCUGUACACAUCCGGUGUGUGGAAAAGCACAGAAAGGACAGGUACUCACGUACAAAGCAGUGUUUCUGCCCUGAAUCCUCCAUGUUCUACCUAUUCAUCCUGUCCUCCCACAGCCCCCCAGCAACCACUACUGCUGUUAUUGUCACCAUAGGUUUGCCUUCCCAGGAUGUCACAUAGUUGCAGUCAGUCAUACACAAGCUCUUGAGAUUGGCUUCUUUCACUUACUAACAUGUGUUCACGUUUCAUCCGUGUUGCUUGCAUGGGCUGAUAGAUCUGCUUUAUUUGGGGGCGGGGUGUUUUUGUUUCUGUUUUGGAGUGGGGAGGUACUGGCACUGAAUGAUAUUUCAUUGUCUGGGGAAAAUGGUUCACGUAUCCAUUCACCUGCUCAAGGACACCUCGGUUGCUUCCCAGUUGUGGCGAUUAUGAGUAACAUCACGCUAAGCAGCCAUGUGCAAGUUUUUGUGUAGAUAUAGAGUUUCAGCUCAGUUGGGUAAAUGCCAAAAAGCACAACAGUUGCACCUUCUGUUACUGACCUCCAGGAGAUGAUUCUCCGCUUCCUCACCAUCAGUGAGGGAGAAUCUACGCUGUCUUACAUAUUUCUGUGCACUGUUAGUGGUUUCUAGAUGGUCUGCGUCUGGCAGCUGUAUAGCUGUGUCUCCUGGCUUAUUUUGGAAUUCCUUUUUGGCUUAUACUGUUGAGAUCAUAUCUGCCCUCUGCUGAUUUUCUUUGGUGAAGAAUCUUUUAAAAUAAGGCAUUCUGCCUACUUAUUAAUAGGCUAUUUGUGCUGUUGUUUCUGGGUCUUAUGAGUCUUUUGUCUACUUUGGAUAGCAGUCCUACAUCAGAUCUGAUGUUGGUAAAUAUUUUUUCUCAUGUUGUGACUUACCUUUUCAUUUGCUUGACUUUUGCCCAGUUUUAAAUUGGUUUGUUGGCUUUCUUAUUAUCGACUUUCAAGAGCCCUUUAUAAGCUCUGGACAUGUUAUUCAUCAAGGAUAUAAUUUACAAAAUGAUCUCUCAGAGUGUGGCUUGUCUUUUCAUUUUCUUAAUACGAGCCUUUUUAAGUGCAAAUUAUUUUAAUCCAAAUGACAUUAAAAUUCUUGAUAUGUUCUUUUAUGGCUUAUGUUUCCAGUAUAAAUUAAAAGCCUCAAAUACACAAUGGUUUUCUUUUAGAAUGUUUAUAACGUUAUGUCUUACUUUUUUUUUUCCUUUUCUAUUUUUCGGAGCUGGGGACUGAACCCAGGGCCUUGCACUUGCUAGGCAAGUGCUCUACCACUGAGCUAAAUCCCCAACCCCAUUACAUUUUUGUUAAUAUCAGUCUUUUGGUUAGUUUAUGGACAUCAUGUGAGACUGGAUCUAAAUUCAUAAAUGCCCAUGCAAAUAUCUGGAUUUACCAUCAGAUGUUGAGAAAACUACUCUUCCGUUACAAGUCCCAACACUUUCUUUAAAAAUUAAUUGCUUGAAAAUGCUGUAAAUACAGGAGUUUACCUCUUAGUAGUUGGUUCUGCCCCCUUGUUCUAUGUGUCUAUGACCAUGUCAGUGCCACACCUUGCAGAUUAGCAUAGCUUUAUAGCAUGUUUUAAAACCAGUCGGUGUAAGUUUUUAAACCUUAUUCUUUUUUAGUUUUUGUUCAUUGGACUCUCCUGGGCCCUUUGCACUUCCAUAUAAAUGUUAAGAUUAGAUUGUCAGCUUCUAAAAACCAAUUAUCUCAGAGACUGAGAUUUUGAUAGGACAUGCAUUUAAUACAAAGAUAAUUUAGGAAAAACUGCCUUCUUAGCAUUUCUCAGUUUUCCUGAAUCAGUGUUCUUUGUCUCUCUCUUUAUUUAGAAUUGCUUUAAUUUCUCUCAACAACUCCAUCAGCAGGAAGUAUUGAAAAUUUUCACUUUUUUUUUUUUUGCUAAAUUCAUCUUUAGUCUAUUAUUUUUAUGUUAUUGUGAAUGGGAUUAUUUUCCUAAUUUCUCUUUGAGAUCACUGCUUGUAUAUGGAAUCAAAAUUAUAUUUUUGCAUAUUGUCUUACUUCAUAUAAAUUUGCUGAACUUAUUUAUUAGUUCUAUCAAUAUUUUUGCAGAUUCCUUAGGUCUUUUUUUUUCUUUUUCAUAUAGGAUGAUCUACAAAUAAAGACAAUUUUUCUUCUAUCUGCCUUCCAAUCUGGUUGCUAGGCAUCUCUUAUUGAAUUUGAGAUGUUAUAAAACACUCUGAAAGAGUGAAGGGAGUUUCCCCAGAGCAGAUAAUGUGAUCACUCUAAGAAGGAAGGGCUUGCAAAUUGGGGUUGGGAUGGGCAAAGAACCAGGAAGUCCCCACUGAGCUGCAAUGAGUUUAAGGUCUCUGAUUCAUUUUCCAGAGAACUAUGGGCAAGAGACAGCAGGAGAAAGACAUGCACAGGCUUGAGGCAGGCACCUUGACAAGGACACAGGCAAGGUUGCUUCAGUGUCAGAGCUGUUGAGCUGUCCCAAUUUUAACUUUGCUCUGUGAAGAAAAGGGGUAUUCUCUCUCCAUUCAUCUAGAUGUUUUUCCACUCAAGCAAGGACAAUCUACCCACUCCUUGCAAUGAAGAUGGGGUCAUAGUGACACAGAGAAGCCUUGUGUAUUUGUGUGAGCUCCUAUGCCACCACAGCAGAAACUCCACACUUAACAAGUCUCUCAGCCUCCAGUGAGAUGCCUCUUAAAUAACCCCUCAUUACUUAAUAUGCAAUGGUUGUUAUGGCUAUGUGAGCUGUUAUCUGUUUAUGUUGACUAUUAAUAAAUUAUUAGACCAUAUCGUGUGGGUUUUAAUAACUCCAUAGGAAGAGAAGUGUGGCCAGGAGGUGAAAUCCCAAGCAAUUACAAAUUCAUAGUUUGAGUGUGUUGUUUCUCCCCUCCCCCCUUCUAGUGCAUAGAAGCUAUUCACUUACAGAGAAAUUAAAUACACAGGCCUUUGCCCUUACUUAGAAUUCUGGCCAUGCACAGGGAAGGAGCUCACAGCAGACAUACAUUCCUGGUGGGAGUAGCCUGCUGGGAUAUCAGUAGUAGGGCUUGCCCCAGGCAUGAGCCUGAAGCUUUUUAGGCUCCCUGCCUUGAGUCUCUGGCUUUUCCUCAUGGAGUGAAAGCUUCUGUAAGGAUGGGGAGGUUGCAUGUAGUCUGUGCAGCUAAGCAAGACUUGAAAAUGCAUCACUCCAAAUCAGCCUUGAAAUAGGGCCUCUCAGGUUGGCCUGCUUGACUGCUCCCAGAUGAGACCCAGGAAGAUGCCCUGCACCCCCUGCAUGUAUGUCCUUGCUUGUUGGAGACAAACAGACAUGAGACUGUGUAAGACUAGGAUUGAAGUGUCAACCUAGGUGGGGGCAGGGGGCUCCAUCAUCACAACCCUGGGAGGUCAGGCAGAGGCAGAGGGGGUAUCAGGUCUCAGCUGCAACAUGGAACUAGACUCAAAUCAUUUUAGCAUCAGCCAUGAUUUUAAAAAUCAAUACCAAGCCUUUUGAUACGGUCUUAAUUCCUUCUAUUUUCUUGCAGUCCAUAGAGGUGUUGAUAGAUUUCCUUCUCCAUGUAGCUAUGGAAAGAAAAUAUGAUUUUGUCUUUGGGAUAGGAGUGCCUUGUGUAUCAGUGGAAUCAUUGACUGAGAGGCAGCAUGUUUCUGGAGCAUCCCAGAAACUCAGGAAACCUCAGUCCUCUGCAUCGUUUGUUGACAGGUUUCUCUUUGCUUCAAGGGGCAGUUUCCACAUUACCUACAUCAUUGCUACCAUCGAGAAACUGAUGACAACCUGUCCUAGGAUGUCCAAAAGGUUAAGUGGAUGCGAGUGUCUGACCACUUGUCAUCCACACUGAGUUCUUAAAUGACAGCACUUCUUAGUAUCCUCCUUACAUUUGCUGACAGAAACUAUAUACAGAGAUGAACCAGCUUCACUUUCUAGGAUGGCAGUCCUAGAGGGAUGAACAGGUGAAUGACCAGAAGAAAGUGUUUAAGAUGGUCCUAGAGACCCCCAAAUCUAUGUGCUCCUCGACAACAGGGGAGUCCUUUUGUGUACCUCCUCUUUCAUAUAACUGAAUGUUUGCAAAAUGAUUAACAAAAAAAAAGGGAGAAGGAAGAAGAGAGUAAGGGAGAGGUUAAAAGAGGGAGGAAAGGAAUAAAAGAAAGGUCAGUAAUAGAUUCCAGUUCAUUCAUUCAUUCACACAUUCAUACAUCCUGAUAGGUAGGCAUAAUGAUAGGGUUUUUUUUAUAGAAAGACACUGUAGUAGUCAGGCUCUAUGCCAGGUGUCAUAGAUACAACAGUGCCCAGAAGCAACCCUCUCCUUCCAUGAGCUUGCUGACAACCUGAGAGGCGGGUAUUCACGUGACUGAGGUACAUAGGCUGUAUGAUGGGCCAAGCUCUGAGGGUUGUUGGAGCUUUUCCAUAUGUGGAAGCAGAGAUUGGCACGGGGAAUAAACCAUGACAAGCUUGGAGUAAAACAUUCAUGACAUAGUAAUGUCAGGAUAUCGAGGGAAAAAAGCAGAAGGUGCUGGUUACAGCAAAGCCAAGACGACGUAUCUGCAGAUCUCGAGUAGCCUGAGAGUCUAAGGCAAGAUUCUGAAGCAAUUCUAAGAGAAAGGAGGGGCCCUUGAGCAGGAGUAGCGUGUGACUUCUGGUUGGCAUAGUGUGCAGUGUUCUAGUAGCACAGGGAAGCGCACAGGGAGAGGAUAGGAUGUGCCUUUGCAGAGAAAGACAACAGACAAGAUGGACACAAUGGCUAAGGGGUAGAGAGAACCCAGUGGCCAGCUUUGAUCCACAGCCAACCUCCUAGUUAAGUAAGGUCUGAGGUCGUGGUAGGGAAGGGCGAAGGACUGAAGUCCAGAAAAACAGAUUAGCCACAGAGGCAAAUGUUAAGUUGGAGAACAUUUGCAGGCAGGGAAGGGCUUUUGGCCCAGAAUUAGAAAAGGUGAAGAGGGCUUGCAGCAGACACUACUGCAAGGCCAGGGUAAUGGGCAUUGGACAUUGUCUCAGGGACCACACCCAGAGCUGCGCCAUUCCAACACACCAAGCACACAGGACUUCCUUGGCAAGGGAAAAGAUGUACAUCUCAAAUAAUAGUGGAGGAGAGGGCUUUGUGAGCACAAAGAGGCUCAUUCAUGAACUCACCAAGUUGUGCCUGUUGCCACAGUAACGUGUCAAGGGUUUGGCAGAUCUGGGAGGGAGCUUUUUUAAACACACACACACACACACACACACACACACACACACACACAACUAAAACAAAAACAAAACCCCCUGAGUUACAGUACUCAAAGCAAAUUAGGUCACUGUUACGAGUUAUUAAUUUUAAUGCAUUAAGAAAAAGUGUGCAGGGGGAGUGAAGGACUUUUUUUUUUGAACGAGGCAAAUGGGGAACAGAAAAAAGUACAACAAUAAUUAUGCUGAAAGCAAAGUGAAGCGUUCCAUAAAAUGAAAGAAAUGAACAAAUUGCACACCCCUCCCUCCUCUUCCCUCAAGUGUAGUUAGGGGUUGCUGGGGUGGGGGUGGGGUGACUCCCUCACAGCCCUCUGAUGCAAUUACAAGGGCUGGCUUCUUUGUAUGUGUCGCAUGCAGUUACUUAAGCCAGCUGAAGUUCCAGGAUAAAAAGAAAGCACCGAGGACCACGGUCUGGGGCUGAGCUAUUUUCAGGGUGGAAUCACUUUUAGGCAACCGUGCAGCCUGGUGAGGAGAAACUGAAUGCUGCGGAUGCACGCUCCAGGAAGGAGGGAUGAUUCAUAGAGACUCCAGGCAUUUGGGUCUUUGGGCCUGGCUCACUUGGAAUGCCAACGGCUUCCGUAAAUACUGUUUCUCUGGCUGCAGAACUGGGUCAUGUACCACUCUGGCUUCCUUGGCUUUUGUUCAAAGCUUCCAUGGGGCAUGAAGAAUCCUGCUACGGAAGUCCAGGCCUCCCCUCCCCAAACCCUCACACACCCUCACCCCCAAUCCUCCACCCCCCACCCUACCCCCACCUCACCCCUCCUAGUACUGCCUUUGCUGGGCUCUUACUUUCCAUCCCUUGGUCUAGUCCGGCCACACUUCCUGAUCUGUCAUGGAGGCGGGACCUAAGGGCACUGUGUCUGAUUUCUGAGCUAUCUUCCCAAAGCCCAGCCCACAUCAGGGUAUUCCCCAGCCUAUGGACUGCCCACACCCCCCAACCCCAUUGCCUACGAGACAAAUUGUGAAGCAUUUCAAGCCCAAGGAAACGAGAUCCCUCCCGUAACUGUAACUUUUCUGUCCUCGUUUCUGGUCAUCCUUCACAAGCCUGUGGUCCAGCCAAAGAAAGGCCACUGCAUUCUGCAAGUCCAAACCUUUGUUUCUCAUGGCCCCUCUACUGGUAUCAGUCCCAGUUCUCUGCUGAGAAAUCAACUGUCCAUCCUCAAGGUCACUGACAUUUUUAUACAGAAUGUGACACUUCCUUCCCUGGGCUCUGUUGAAAACACCUUGACCACAGCACACAUCAGUGGCUCAUGCCUCAUUGCACUCCUGGGCUCCUGAAAUCCUUGAGAAGCUCCGUCUUUGAACCUGUCUCCAGUAUGGAGAAGCAUGGAGCCACUCAACAAAUAGUUGGCUUAUUGCUUUCCUCGCCUAAAUUCUCCACUUAUCAAUGGAAAAGCCCCCUCCCCGCCCCCACCCCGACUUCACCAAAACCUAUUUUAAACUACAGAUCCACAUGCAGCAUCUCGUGCUGUAUGACUUGGGAACUGGAGUACUAGAAGUCCCGCCUGGACAGUCUUUUUGGAGGAUGCUUUCUCCAAGGUCACACACCCCAAGAACAGCUACUCUGAGGUUUUGGGAACACAUGAGUCUCCCAACUGGAUAAAGUGCUUGGUUCAUACUCGGAUGUUUCUGGAAGCUCAGGAAAUGGGUCAAGGGAAGGGGGUAGGGGUUUGAGUCUCCGGUUUGUUUUCUACCCUGUGGUUAGAUGGCUUGAGUACAUUUUCUUGUACUCCCAAAGAGCAUGGGUUAAAGAAGAUCUUGUUUUUAUUUUUCAUCUGUUAAAAUGUAUUGCUUUUAUGAUAACCAGGGACAGGAUGCUGCAAGGCCAGCAGAAUCUCUCAGAAGCCUGACACAUUUCAAAGGUAGCCAUGCAAGAGAGGAAGAAACGUGAAACGGUGUGCGGGUAAACGGGCAGUGCACACACACAUGAGCAUGUCCUUGGACCAGUGUUUACUGAGUCACCGUUUUUGUGCCAGGUUUGUACAGUGUGUGCGUGCUUCAGGGUAUGUAGUGCUUUCAUGCGCAAUCUGCGUGUUACGAGAAGAAGCUUUCACCACACUUCCACUACCCUUCGUAUUUUCCAGACACUACAGGGAAGGGCAGAUGUUUUCUCUAGAAGCUAAUUUACUCGUUGAGUGGAAGGCUCCAUUUUAAUUGAUUCUAUCUUUCAAGAGGCAAGGAACUUGUAAUCUCAGCUCAGUUGUCAAUACUUUGCAGGCCUUUCCCUCCAGUCUUUAGCAUGCAGAUAGGGCAAGCAGGGAGCUGCUGUCACAGGCUAAGGAUGAAAAGGAAGAGCAACUCAGGAUAAUAAUCCGCUUUUGAUUUUUUUCCCCUUCCUUCCCUACACCCUCUCUCAAAUCCACUAAAACGAGGGGAAAUCCAUAGCGAUUAGAAAAACUUCUGACCAAGACAUCUUUCUCCGUUUCCUUUCAUUUCCUCUCAGCCCUCUUUAGUAUUCAGAAGCUGUCCUAAUAGCAGAGGCUUCCAUGGGGCUUGGCUGUGCCUAGCAUCCCAACCACAGAGUGGGAUGCUUGCUGGAGACCUUGAAGGCCCUCUCAGGCUGAUGCCUGGUGGAGUCUGUCACCCCAUCUGGCAGUCUGACAGCAAGUUACAGGGGUCACCGUGGUGCAGUCCAGGAGCUUCUACCAAGAUAGGAAAAGUAUGGGAGUCCUCUGACUACCUCAGCUGAUCGGAGGACUCUUUCUGUGGUCCAUCUGAGUACUGCUGAACAUCUCAGCAGGGCCUAGAAUGGAAAGAAAGAAAGAAAAAAGACUGGCAUGGUGCCAAAGAGACACAGUGAUGGGAACUUGGGAAUGUGUAAAAAAUGCUCUGGUAUUUCUGGGCCUCAUCAGGCUUCACUGCGAUGAAGGACUGUCUUAGUCACUGUUCUGUUGCUGUGAAGAGACACCAUGACCAUGGCAACUCUUAUAAGGGAAAGCAUUUAAUAGAAGUUUACUCACAGUUUCAGAGGUGUAGUGCAUUGUCCUCGUGGUGGGAAGCUUGGCGGCAUGGUGCUGGAGAGGUAGCUGGGGGUUCUACAUCCGCAUCCGCAGGCAGCAGGAAGAGAGAGACUCUGGGCUUGGCACGGACUUUUGAAACUUCAAAGCCUGCCCCCAGUGACACACUCCAACAAAGCCAUACUUCCUAAUCCUUUCAAAUACUGCCAGUCCCAGUGACCAGGCAUUGUAAGCUAUGAGCCUGUGGGGGGCUUUUCCCAUUCAAUCUACCACAGGGGUGUACUAAGUCAGGAACACUCAAUGUCAUCUUUCACAGUCACUUGCCGGGCCUUUCUUUUCCCACAGCAGAAAUCACACAUUUGGAUGCAGGGCAAUAUGCAUCUCUGACCAGCAGUCUCCGCUCCUCCAGAAGUGGGCUUAGACUUUGUGUAACAGUCUGAACAGGGAGUCCAUGGGCUGGUACACAAAAAGCAAGGUUAAGAUUGUAUAAGGGAUGCUGGGGGAAGAGCAUUCCAUGUUUGACCAAGUCAUUGUCAUGGAUUAGGACAGGUUGUGCAUCCAUACGUGCCACUGGCAAAGGAAAGGACCCAUCUUAAUUGAUUCUAUCUUUCAAGAUCCAAGCAUCCUGUAAUCUCAGUUCAACACUACCUGUCUGCUACAAGUUUUGCUCCAGCCCGGUUCCCUGAGUUCCACAGGUGCCAGGAAGGGGGAGGGAAUAUCUAGUAGGAAAAUGAAGAAGAUUGUAAACCUGAGGCAGCUGGGCUGCAGCAUAGCCCAGACAGGGCAUUUGGCCCCUUGACCUCUGACCCAGGGAAUGGCUAAGCAGAGGCAGUGGGAGGGAGAGAGGCAACAGAGGGUGAUAACAAUGCCCUCACCUUGCCCAGGUACUCUUGUUGCCGGAAGCUGUUAGGACCAGUUUAGUGAACAAAGACUAGUAGCCAUAAGAAAUCACAAUGUCAAGGAGAAGAGGGCUGGUAGGUCUGAAUGAGCUACCUGUCCCUGACAUCAGCUCUCCUGCAAAGAUCACCUGGAAACCGACAGACAGCAUUUUCUCCCAAUUUUUCUCCAGGCAGUUUUUGGGACUCCUCCUGGUCUGCAGUGUGGGAGGGCCCCUCUACCCACUGUCCAUUCUGAGUCUCUGUCUCUGUCACUGAUAAAGCAGGAGUUGCUGGGUAGGACAGCCCCCUUGUGCUGUCUGCCAUUCUCACUUAGUCUGGACAUCAGAAUAUUAGACCCAGGGCCACCAGCAACCUAGAGAACAGUCAGAGACCACCCAGUGAACAGGAACAGUGUGGGACAGCAGGGGGAUUUAUCUACCAACCCUUACAAAGCUUUUUAGGACUCUGAAAGCUCUUCCCUAAUCUGUUAAGAAAAGGGUCACACCUCUCUGGGGCAAGAAUACCUCCUUUUUCCUUUGCUCUAAGGGCAUGGCUCCCAUUAGUCCUUUCUGGCCUUUCCUACCAUAUCAUACAAGCACAUACCACACACACACACACACACACACACACACACACACACACACACACACACACGGGUGGGGGGGAGAGAGAGAGAGAGAGAGAGUAAUAGUGAACACCCAUACUAUAGAGAAGUGAAUCACUGUAUUAACCUCACCCUCAACAACAGAGAAGCCCCUACAAGAGCCACAGUAGUAAUGAGGAGGUGUGGCAGGUGCCAGAGACCCUACCAAGAUCAGCACACAGCAGUCAACUGAAAACAACUACAGAGGCCAGGGUGAGCAUGGGGUGGGGUGGGGUGUUGUAUUUGCUUAGAACAGUAUGGAUUUUAGUGGGGUUAAAUUACUUUUUCUCUGUAAUUCUUCUUCCACAUCACCUGACAUUCCUGCCUUCAGGUAAAUCCUUCUCUGAGGCUGGUUUCUGGAAGGGAGCCAACAGACACAGAAGAGCAGUCCGUGGAAUGUGUGAAGUCAAACACACCCUAAUUGCAAAUGGACAAGCACAAUAAUGACCAGAGCUAAUGGGCAUUUAGGCUUCCUGCGUGCAUGGAAAUCCUCUUUAGUUUAGAUUCCAAUCGUCGUUUUUCAUUGAACAAAUAUUUUUUGAGCACUUAAUGAAUGUCUUGCACUACGAUGGGUAGGCAAAGGAGGCUUCCUGAACCUUGGUAUAAGCAGAACAGUGAGAGGCUAAUUCGUUUUAAAGACUGCUCUGCUCUUUCUGUAGUAUAGGGAGUGGCCAAAGGAAAGUGGUUUGUUUGUUUGUUUGUUUGUUUGUUUGUUUGUUUGUUUGUUUUCUGGAAAACCAGGUGAAUAGACUCAGCCAGGUGAGAGAUGACAGUGGCUUUAACUAAG
Rattus norvegicus (Norway rat) is the source of this 41401-nucleotide non-coding RNA. The record is from RefSeq and is a predicted model, not a curated record. Lineage: Eukaryota; Metazoa; Chordata; Mammalia; Rodentia; Muridae.